GUGCUCGUGUCGGCAGCACACGCUAAAAUUGGAACGACAGAGAAGACUCCCACGGCCCCUGCACAAGGAUGACAUGCAAAUUCAUGAAGUGUUCCGUAUUUUC
Pteropus vampyrus (large flying fox) is the source of this 103-nucleotide small nuclear RNA. Lineage: Eukaryota; Metazoa; Chordata; Mammalia; Chiroptera; Pteropodidae. The record is from Ensembl.